Long non-coding RNA from Betta splendens (Siamese fighting fish), 317 nucleotides. RefSeq lists it as uncharacterized. The record is from RefSeq and is a predicted model, not a curated record. The transcript is spliced from 3 exons. NCBI's taxonomy places the organism in Eukaryota, Metazoa, Chordata, Actinopteri, Anabantiformes, Osphronemidae.
CUUGGAGCCGGUCUCCAGGGCAGAUCUUCCGGGCGACUCGCCCUGCAAGAAAUUAGAAAAUGCUACAAUAAAGCCCGAAAAACUGAAAAAAGAGCCAACUUUAAUAAUGAUACUUCUCACCGUAGGCGCCCGCGUCCCCUAGGUUGGAAGUCAGCGAAAGACAGCGAAGUAGCCCAGAUCAUUCAUGGAAAGCCAUCUUCUAUAUUAAAAAUGCCACUGGUACUACAAAACAAGAAUUCAGAUGGCGGUGGAGCGAGUGUUGGCCAGAGGCGAUAACUUCUCAGCAGAUUUAGCUUCAGUACAGAUUGCGCGGAAGG